GGCCGCGGUAUUUUGACCGUGCAAAGGUAGCGUAAUCACCUGUCUUUUAAAUAAAGACCUGUAUGAAUGGCAAGACGAGGGUUUUACUGUCUCCUCCCCCCAGUCAAUGAAAUUGAUCUACCCGUGCAGAAGCGGGUAUAAAAACAUAAGACGAGAAGACCCUAUGGAGCUUUAGGCAUAUAUCAAAUAUGUAAAAAACCAAAUUUUUCCAAAUAGGCCUAAAAAAUGAGAAAAACAAGUAUUAAUGAUUAAGUGCCUUCGGUUGGGGCGACCACGGGGAAAAAUAAAACCCCCACAUGGAAUGGGAAAAAUAACCCUAAGCCAAGAAAAACACUUCUAAGCAACAAAAUUUUUGACCAAUAAACGACCCAGGGACACCAUCCCUGAGCAAUGAACCAAGUUACCCUAGGGAUAACAGCGCAAUCCUUUCCCAGAGCCCAUAUCAACGAAAGGGUUUACGACCUCGAUGUUGGAUCAGGGCAUCCUAACGGUGCAGCCGCUGUAAGGGU
RNAcentral lists this ribosomal RNA (509 nucleotides) under Conger erebennus. RNAcentral's name for it is "partial 16S ribosomal RNA". It matches the Rfam family "Bacterial large subunit ribosomal RNA", at positions 1929 to 2572 of the family's 2925-position model. Lineage: Eukaryota; Metazoa; Chordata; Actinopteri; Anguilliformes; Congridae. The record is from RNAcentral.